UAUGACAGAAGGCGCCAACGAAAGCUCAUUAAUUACGUAGAUGAAAGAAGGAAACUAUCAACUCCCUUUUGUGGUGUGAAAAUUCAAGUGUUGUUAAUAAAGUGUAAUUUUUCUAGGAGCGGCGAACGGAGGACAAGGUGUGACAGACAAAAUUCCAGUGUACACUUCUCAGUAUCAAAAUUCCAGUGCUGCUUCUUCUAAAUCAAAAUUCCAGUGAAUUGUUACAUGCAGGAGUUUGCUGCAAUAAGCAGAAGAAGUCAUGUGGCAGUCUUAUGGGGGACAUGGAAGGUGCCUCCUUGAAGAAUGCCUCGUGCAGCAUUCAGGCGUCCCCUGGAAACGGCGUAUUGCCGGCUGAACCCUUCCAAGUCAAGAAUACCACCACCAUGUGAUGUGUGUCUUCUUAUUACUCUUCUGGAUGGUGGGCCUCUCAUCGUGCUACAUGUUGUUCUUGAGUUUUGAAGCUCACUGUAUCUGUGGCAUUUCUGGAUCCAAGAUCAGUGUAAACUUCAUCAGUUAUCUUUCUGUGAAGACAAUUGUGCUACAUUUUUGU
This is a long non-coding RNA of Schistocerca cancellata (South American locust), 550 nucleotides long. RefSeq lists it as uncharacterized. The transcript has 4 exons. The record is from RefSeq and is a predicted model, not a curated record. Lineage: Eukaryota; Metazoa; Arthropoda; Insecta; Orthoptera; Acrididae.